This is a long non-coding RNA of Cyprinus carpio carpio, 809 nucleotides long. NCBI's taxonomy places the organism in Eukaryota, Metazoa, Chordata, Actinopteri, Cypriniformes, Cyprinidae. The record is from Ensembl.
GAAAUAAACCUCUUAACCCACCUGAUAUUUCAUGUAUUUCGUCGUAAAAGUAAAACCACAAGUUGGUGUCUGCAGUCACAGAGUAUAAUGGAAACAGGGGUAAAGAUCUUGUCACUCCUCCCCUACAUACCUACAACUCACCUCCCAUUUGCUAACUUCAGAACAGAAAAGACCGAACCAGAGAACAGUAAUACAUACAUUGCUGCAGAGCCCAAGGCAGAAAGAAAAUUACCAUCAAAAUCCAAUAAUCAGACAAAUGGAUCCCAGCCAGUCUUUCAGUCACACCCGGCCAUAUCCAGGACAGUCCGUCAUCGGUGUGCAGCCUGCAGUUUUUGUGACCCCCAAUCCACCGGCCAGUCUAGUGCCAGAUCACUUGGCCUACUCUAUCUUUACCAUGCUGUGCUGCUGUUUACCUCUGGGCAUUGCUGCACUGCAUGGUAAAGAUGGAGUAGCCCAAGUGAUCUGGCACUAGACUGGCCGGUGGAUUGGGGGUCACAAAAACUGCAGGCUGCACACCAACCACGCACUGUCCUGGAUAUGGCCGGGUGUGACUGAAAGACUGGCUGGGAUCCAUUUGUCUGAUUAUUGGAUUUUGAUUGUAAUUUUCUUUCUGCCUUGGUCUCUGCAGCAAUGUAUGUAUUACUGUUCUCUGGUUCGGUCUUUUCUGUUCUGAAGUUAGCAAAUGGGAGGUGAAUUGUAGGUAUGUAGGGGAGGAGUGACAAGAUCUUUACCCCUGUUUCCAUUAUACUCUGUGACUGCAGACACCAACUUGUGGUUUUACUUUUACGACGAAAUGCAUGAAAUAUCAG